This 262-nucleotide ribosomal RNA is filed under the name uncultured bacterium. RNAcentral describes it as "partial 16S ribosomal RNA". It matches the Rfam family "Bacterial small subunit ribosomal RNA", at positions 515 to 776 of the family's 1533-position model. The record is from RNAcentral.
CCGCGGUAAGACAGAGGGUGCAAACGUUGUUCGGAUUUACUGGGCGUAAAGCGUGCGCAGGCGGUUUGCUAAGACAGGUGUGAAAUCCCCGGGCUUAACCUGGGAAUUGCGCUUGUAACUGGCAAGCUAGAGUGUAGCAGAGGGGGGUAGAAUUCCACGUGUAGCAGUGAAAUGCGUAGAUAUGUGGAGGAAUACCGAUGGCGAAGGCAGCCCCCUGGGUUAACACUGACGCUCAUGCACGAAAGCGUGGGGAGCAAACAGG